This 484-nucleotide ribosomal RNA is filed under the name uncultured bacterium. Its description in RNAcentral is "partial 16S ribosomal RNA". It matches the Rfam family "Bacterial small subunit ribosomal RNA", at positions 30 to 507 of the family's 1533-position model. The record is from RNAcentral.
AUUGAACGCUGGCGGCAGGCCUAACACAUGCAAGUCGAGCGGAUGAAGGGAGCUUGCUCCUGGAUUCAGCGGCGGACGGGUGAGUAAUGCCUAGGAAUCUGCCUGGUAGUGGGGGAUAACGUCCGGAAACGGGCGCUAAUACCGCAUACGUCCUGAGGGAGAAAGUGGGGGAUCUUCGGACCUCACGCUAUCAGAUGAGCCUAGGUCGGAUUAGCUAGUUGGUGGGGUAAAGGCCUACCAAGGCGACGAUCCGUAACUGGUCUGAGAGGAUGAUCAGUCACACUGGAACUGAGACACGGUCCAGACUCCUACGGGAGGCAGCAGUGGGGAAUAUUGGACAAGGGGCGAAGGCCUGAUCCAGCCAUGCCGCGUGUGUGAAGAAGGUCUUCGGAUUGUAAAGCACUUUAAGUUGGGAGGAAGGGCAGUAAGUUAAUACCUUGCUGUUUUGACGUUACCAACAGAAUAAGCACCGGCUAACUUCGUG